Molecule: long non-coding RNA, 358 nt
Organism: Selaginella moellendorffii
Lineage: Eukaryota; Viridiplantae; Streptophyta; Lycopodiopsida; Selaginellales; Selaginellaceae
Exons: 2
Source: RefSeq, a predicted model, not a curated record
GCGCGGGAAGAAACAGAGGCAUGGCGAAGCUCGCGAUUGCGAUCGUUAUGUGCGCGCUGGCUAUGGCCGCCGCGCUAUCUCUCUCGCAUGCGCAGGAUCUGGCGCCGGCUCCCAGCCCGAUGUCAAGCAAAGGCUUCUCCUUGGAUCACUCCAUUGCGCUCGGUCUGAUCUUCGCAACACUGGCGGCAGCGCAUCACUGGGGGGGCCAUGUCGUCUCGCUUUUCAUGUGAUGCCGUGAGGAUUUCCACGGAGAGAACAGUCUAAAGGGGAGCGUAUCCAUUUUGCUGUUUUACACACUCACAUCAUACAAUGUAGAAUCGUGUCCCUGAAUUGAAAACUUAGAUCGAGAUUUUAUUCC